UAGCCCAAAUGUAAAUACUCUUAUUUG
RNAcentral lists this non-coding RNA (27 nucleotides) under Mus musculus (house mouse). The record is from RNAcentral. Lineage: Eukaryota; Metazoa; Chordata; Mammalia; Rodentia; Muridae.